CCGGGUUCAACCGAGAGUACGCUAGAUGGUCUCCCUGCAUCUUUACAGUUGACAAAGUCCUUGGCGACAGCGCUCAGGAAAUGCCACUCUAAAAUCUGGUACCUUCGAGUACCAGGAAGCUGAAGGAAAUGGAGUAAGGGCCUGUACCCAGAGGACUGGCUGCCUCUCCCUCCGUCCCCGGGGCAGGUCCCGAGACCCUCCUAGGAGCGGUGCCCUCCCCAUACCCAAGGAAGAGAGCAUCCCUGGUCUCUGCAGGGUAGGGACACUGAGGGGAUCUGAGCCAAGAGGACUUUCUAGGUUCCCCCCUUAGCUCACCCCCUUCUGUCCUAUCGCACUCCUCCCUGACCUGCCCCAAAACACACCGGCUUAGCACUCUCUGGGGCUUCAUUUCCUUAUAAAGGCUCCUGUGUCAUGUAAAAUUUGUUUCAAAUGUGAGUGCUUUCCUUUUGUUAACCUGUCUUUCCUCACAGAGCUCCAGCUAGAUGGGGUAGAGGAAAACACAUCUUUCUCCUCCCUUGUGUUGGCAGUUUUGCAAACGGAUGUGUCAUCACUUCCAACAACCGCAAACUCCCUACCCGUGACCCAUAAUAAAGAUGAACCAACAGCACAGAAAUUCAGCACAAUAUAAGCGCAGCCUGGAUCUUGGUUGCCCUGGUUACGAGGAGUCACUGCACAGGGCAUGAUCAUCCGCUGUUACACCUGAAUCUGGAAGGGCUCUUCGUGCCUUUCCCCACAUCACCCUCCUUUUGUCCGGGUUACUUUUUUUAGAUAAAACGUUGGAUACAAUUGCAGCUCUGUCUCUCCCCCAGCACUUCCUGGGAUGAGAGGCUCCUUUCAUUCCCUAUUACCAUUUCUAAGCACCAGCCAGGAAGCCUGCCGCUGGCCGAGCUCCACUGCCUUUGUGAGGGCGGCGAUUUUGUCUUGGUCUCUCUGGUCCGACGGCUUUAUUUAUAACUGCCCAGUAAAUGCAAAAUAUUUUACACAAAUAUUUUUAUAUCUCUCAGGGGUAUUUACUGUAAGUGCCUGGAUUUAUAGAAGGCGUCAUCUUGCUUUCAGAAGAGCCCGCAGUCCAAAGGGAGAAAGGAUGACAGCUUCGCCGAAUUCCAUCCGCAUUACUGCUGCAAAUGAGGUACAACUGUUUCUCAGCUGUGGUUUCGAGGGCCCUGCGUGGCCCAGUGCUCUGCAUUCCUCCCUCUGAUAGUGAGGUCAGCCUGGGUCGCCCGCUCUCCUGACGCGGGACCCUUCCCAAACCUUGUGGCCCGCGUGGGGUAUAUCGGGUUUUCUGAAAAGUAGAAGCUUUAAGAGCCAACCAUCCAAUGAGAACUGCGGUGUAUCAG
Mustela erminea (ermine) is the source of this 1337-nucleotide long non-coding RNA. RefSeq lists it as uncharacterized. The transcript is spliced from 3 exons. Lineage: Eukaryota; Metazoa; Chordata; Mammalia; Carnivora; Mustelidae. The record is from RefSeq and is a predicted model, not a curated record.